Small nucleolar RNA from Caenorhabditis elegans, 88 nucleotides. The record is from Ensembl. Lineage: Eukaryota; Metazoa; Nematoda; Chromadorea; Rhabditida; Rhabditidae.
AAUAUCUACAUAAUAAUUUAAAAAAAUCAUAGGCUUUAAACAAAAGAUUUUGUGAAAAAUCAGUCUCAUUUUGGAUUACAAUUCGGGA